AUGCUCUCAGGUUUGGUUACAGAUAAGCCCUCAGAGAAGGCUCUUCCAGCUCCUCUGCGGCCUCCUGUGCUGAAUCCAAGCUGGCCUCCAAGAGGUACUCAGAGAGCACGUUAUACAUCUAGAAGAGGGAAAAAAUCUCAAAAGGCAUCUGAUGUCUUAGACAAAACUGUGAAGAAACUGGUGCAGAUAGACUACGACCCACCUGCAAAAAGUAGUCAGAAGAAAGGAAGCUAUCGCAUGCCUCCAGUUUCUGAUGUAGAAAGAAAGGCAAUGGAUGAAAACGGCAUGCCAGUGGUGGACUCUGGGACAAACACAAAGGCAGGCAGCAACAUACGUGAGCGGUUAUAUAUUACAAUGUCUUCAGUGGUCCCAAUGGUGCUGCUGUCUUUGCGUCUGACGUUUUUACUUGGUAAAUUAAUUAAAGCGAUAGAAAAGCGAAAACAGGGACAAGCUGACACUGCCACUACCUCCACUGGAGAAGAUCAAACUGGAGAUGCAGGGUCAAGGAAAGAACAAAAUGAUACUCUUACCCAAGAAGAUGAGGACAUCAACAACGGCCUCAGCCCAUGACCCUGCACUUUUCCACCAGAGUUCACUCAGCUUUACAGCAACAUGAGUGCAGGUGCCUCGCCUGUAACAGCAUGUACCAGCAGCUCUCCUAUUAGGUGGCUAUUCUCCAGACCUCCACAUCUUGCAAUAAGACUCUAUCUUAUCUAGGAGGCAAGAGGUGGAAGGUGUGUGGUGCGUGUCACUGUACGGCAGUCAGCAUCACUUUGUGGACCAUUUCGCUGGAGCUGUUUGCCUUCGGAAGGGAGUGCUCAGAAUGUUUACUGGUGGAAGAUCUGGCCUGUAACCAAGUAACUCCAGCUUGGUACUGGAGAUUGGUGGAUGAUAACAUUAUAUCCUGAGAAGGCAAGAUACAAGCGGACACCUCCCUGUUAAUUCUUAUCGGAUGACAAGGCCCAGAAGAUGGGAACAAAAGGAGUUCCUGCUGCGAUCCAAAAGCCGGAAGCUGUCCCUCCAAAGAGCUGACUCAGCCACUUUGGACUUAGAAAUAAGUCUGAACUGUCACUGGACAAAGUUGUCAUUGUCUUCAACCAAGCAACAACUCCGAUGACCCACCACAACUGAAAAUCAACAACUGUACUAUGAACGCUAGACGCAAGGUGGUGACUAUCUCUCUUGCUUUCUACAAGGACUCCUUGCUUUUAUUUCCUAUAAUCUUUUCUAUCACUUGUCUUCUCUUCCACAUCUCCUUAGGAUUUGUAAUAAACUUGUUAAACUAACAUUUGACCUGUUGUGU
RNAcentral lists this long non-coding RNA (1303 nucleotides) under Coturnix japonica (Japanese quail). Its description in RNAcentral is "lncRNA (ENSCJPG00005008754.1)". The record is from RNAcentral. Lineage: Eukaryota; Metazoa; Chordata; Aves; Galliformes; Phasianidae.